AUGUCAGUCGUACGAUGAUGCCCAGCUUGCUGGGCGGAUUAGUGGCGAACGGGUGAGUAAUACGUGAGUAACCUGCCCUUGACUCUGGGAUAAGCCUGGGAAACUGGGUCUAAUACUGGAUACUACCUCUUGCCGCAUGGUGGGUGGUGGAAAGGGUUUUACUGGUUUUGGAUGGGCUCACGGCCUAUCAGCUUGUUGGUGGGGUAAUGGCUCACCAAGGCGACGACGGGUAGCCGGCCUGAGAGGGUGACCGGCCACACUGGGACUGAGACACGGCCCAGACUCCUACGGGAGGCAGCAGUGGGGAAUAUUGCACAAUGGGCGGAAGCCUGAUGCAGCGACGCCGCGUGAGGGAUGACGGCCUUCGGGUUGUAAACCUCUUUCAGUAGGGAAGAAGCGAGAGUGACGGUACCUGCAGAAGAAGCGCCGGCUAACUACGUGCCAGCAGCCGCGGUAAUACGUAGGGCGCAAGCGUUGUCCGGAAUUAUUGGGCGUAAAGAGCUCGUAGGCGGUUUGUCGCGUCUGCUGUGAAAGCCCGGGGCUCAACCCCGGGUCUGCAGUGGGUACGGGCAGACUAGAGUGCAGUAGGGGAGACUGGAAUUCCUGGUGUAGCGGUGAAAUGCGCAGAUAUCAGGAGGAACACCGAUGGCGAAGGCAGGUCUCUGGGCUGUUACUGACGCUGAGGAGCGAAAGCAUGGGGAGCGAACAGGAUUAGAUACCCUGGUAGUCCAUGCCGUAAACGUUGGGCACUAGGUGUGGGGGACAUUCCACGUUUUCCGCGCCGUAGCUAACGCAUUAAGUGCCCCGCCU
Molecule: ribosomal RNA, 810 nt
Filed under: Kocuria sp. MJ339
Lineage: Bacteria; Bacillati; Actinomycetota; Actinomycetes; Micrococcales; Micrococcaceae
Description: bacterial SSU rRNA
Rfam family: Bacterial small subunit ribosomal RNA
Source: RNAcentral